RNAcentral lists this non-coding RNA (22 nucleotides) under Arabidopsis thaliana (thale cress). The record is from RNAcentral. Lineage: Eukaryota; Viridiplantae; Streptophyta; Magnoliopsida; Brassicales; Brassicaceae.
UGAAACUCUCAUAAAUGCCGAC